RNAcentral lists this long non-coding RNA (776 nucleotides) under Sitophilus oryzae (rice weevil). RNAcentral describes it as "uncharacterized LOC115877920". Lineage: Eukaryota; Metazoa; Arthropoda; Insecta; Coleoptera; Curculionidae. The record is from RNAcentral.
UGAAAACAUAGAAUUUAUAAGGGAUACAUAAACUGGCCCAGAGUUUUCUUAGGAGGCCUCUAAAUUCCAUUUAGUUUUCAACAAUAUUUUUGAUAUUUUUAACUCUCAGAAUGGAUUUACAAAAUAUUCAUAUAAAAAAAUUAUCAAAAAUAUAAGAACAACAUACUUUUUAAUAAUUUUGAAAUAAUUAAAUUGUAUAUUAUUGGACUUACUUUAAAAGAAAGGUCAACCAUAGUCACAAAGAAAAACGGGAUUUUUGGGCUUUCUAAUUUGUAUGGAAAGCUUACAACGUAUGUAUAAAUACUAUGUAAAAGAAAAUCAAUUAUUGAAAUAUAUUUUGACUAACUGGUGGAGGUCCACGUAUACAAAAAGCAAAAACGGAAGAUAAUAAUAUAUUCAAUUAAUGUAAAAAUGAGAAGAGCAUUGUGGGAUUAAAAAACAUGAUGGUGAUAGAUUGUCUAAAACUAAUAGGAGUACUGGUAUUUCUCAAAACAAAACUGAUGGUUACAAAGAAACAGAAGAAAAGGGAUGAUACUAAUUUACUAGACAAAAGGCUGUUCUUUUGUAAUAUGGAGAUGGGCAAAAUUCAAAGUAGUAGUAUUCAAAACAGAGAAGAACAUAAGCUAAAGAAAAAAAGGGUUGUUAGACAUUGAAAUAAAAAAAGAACAGUAAAGUUCUCAAAGAGAACUUAUUUAAUAAUUUUAAUUAGUGUUUAUAUUGUCAUGUAAAAAAUGUAAUAUAUGUUAUUUCUGAAUAAAAGACAUUUAAUAAUGAUA